GUAGUGCUUACAUAAUUUUCGGAA
This 24-nucleotide non-coding RNA is filed under the name Arabidopsis thaliana (thale cress). Lineage: Eukaryota; Viridiplantae; Streptophyta; Magnoliopsida; Brassicales; Brassicaceae. The record is from RNAcentral.